Molecule: ribosomal RNA, 473 nt
Filed under: Trichonephila plumipes
Lineage: Eukaryota; Metazoa; Arthropoda; Arachnida; Araneae; Nephilidae
Description: Nephila plumipes partial 16S ribosomal RNA
Rfam family: Bacterial large subunit ribosomal RNA
Source: RNAcentral
UGUGCUAAGGUAGCAUAAUCACUAGCCUUUUAAUUGAAGGCUUGUAUGAAAGGUAUAACAUUUAAAUUUCUUUUUUAUUUAAGAUUUUCUAAAUUAUAUUAAGCAUAAAAAUAUGUUUAUACAUUUAAUAGACGACAAGACCCUAUUGAACUUUACUGAAGUUAAGCUGGGGCAGCUAUUUAAUUACUAUUUUAAUUUUAUUUUAUUUAAGUUAAGACCCAAUACUAUUUGAUUUUAUGAAUUAAGUUACCAUAGGGAUAACAGCGUAAUUUUUUUUUAAAGCUCUUAUUAAAAAAAAAGAUUGCGACCUCGAUGUUGAAUUACAGUUACAAAUACGCAGUAGUAUAUAAUGUAGGUCUGUUCGACCUUUAAAACUUUACAUGAUUUGAGUUAAAAUCGGCGUAAGCCAGAUUGGUUUCUAUCUUUAAAUAAAAUUUAUUUAGUACGAAAGGACCAAUAAAUUUAUUUUUAAU